UCCGGCGUAGCUCAAAGGCAGAGCGAUUCCCUGUUAAGGAAUGGGUUGUAGGUUCGAGUCCUACCGCCGGAG
Non-coding RNA from Candidatus Nomurabacteria bacterium, 72 nucleotides. The record is from Rfam. Lineage: Bacteria; Candidatus Nomuraibacteriota.